GACGAACGCUGGCGGCGUGCUUAACACAUGCAAGUCGAACGGUGAAGCUCCAGCUUGCUGGAGUGGAUCAGUGGCGAACGGGUGAGUAACACGUGAGCAACCUGCCCCUGACUCUGGAAUAAGCGCUGGAAACGGCGUCUAAUACUGGAUACGAGAAGGGUCCGCAUGGGCACUUUCUGGAAAGUUUUUCGGUUGGGGAUGGGCUCGCGGCCUAUCAGCUUGUUGGUGAGGUAAUGGCUCACCAAGGCGACGACGGGUAGCCGGCCUGAGAGGGCGACCGGCCACACUGGGACUGAGACACGGCCCAGACUCCUACGGGAGGCAGCAGUGGGGAAUAUUGCACAAUGGGCGAAAGCCUGAUGCAGCGACGCCGCGUGAGGGAUGACGGCCUUCGGGUUGUAAACCUCUUUCAGCAGGGAUGAAGCGAAAGUGACGGUACCUGCAGAAGAAGCACCGGCUAACUACGUG
This 468-nucleotide ribosomal RNA is filed under the name uncultured bacterium. RNAcentral describes it as "partial 16S ribosomal RNA". It matches the Rfam family "Bacterial small subunit ribosomal RNA", at positions 28 to 507 of the family's 1533-position model. The record is from RNAcentral.